GAUGAACGCUGGCGGCGUGCCUAAUACAUGCAAGUCGAGCGAACGGACGAGAAGCUUGCUUCUCUGAUGUUAGCGGCGGACGGGUGAGUAACACGUGGAUAACCUACCUAUAAGACUGGGAUAACUUCGGGAAACCGUAGCUAAUACCGGAUAAUAUUUUGAACCGCAUGGUUCAAAAGUGAAAGACGGUCUUGCUGUCACUUAUAGAUGGAUCCGCGCUGCAUUAGCUAGUUGGUAAGGUAACGGCUUACCAAGGCAACGAUGCAUAGCCGACCUGAGAGGGGGAUCGGCCACACUGGAACUGAGACACGGUCCAGACUCCUACGGGAGGCAGCAGUAGGGAAUCUUCCGCAAUGGGCGAAAGCCUGACGGAGCAACGCCGCGUGAGUGAUGAAGGUCUUCGGAUCGUAAAACUCUGUUAUUAGGGAAGAACAUAUGUGUAAGUAACUGUGCACAUCUUGACGGUACCUAAACAGAAAGCCACGGCUAACUACGUG
RNAcentral lists this ribosomal RNA (497 nucleotides) under uncultured bacterium. RNAcentral describes it as "partial 16S ribosomal RNA". It matches the Rfam family "Bacterial small subunit ribosomal RNA", at positions 28 to 507 of the family's 1533-position model. The record is from RNAcentral.